GAUUAACGCUAGCGGCAGGCCUAAUACAUGCAAGUCGAACGGCAGCGGGUCCAGCAAUGGAUGCCGGCGAGUGGCGCACGGGUGCGUAACACGUAUGCAAUCUACCCUUAACUGGGGGAUAGCCCCGAGAAAUCGGGAUUAAUACCCCAUAAUAUUAUGAAGUGGCAUCAUUUUAUAAUUAAAGUUCCGACGGUUUUGGAUGAGCAUGCGCGACAUUAGCUAGUUGGCGAGGUAACGGCUCACCAAGGCUGCGAUGUCUAGGGGUUCUGAGAGGAUUCACCCCCACACUGGUACUGAGACACGGACCAGACUCCUACGGGAGGCAGCAGUAAGGAAUAUUGGUCAAUGGACGCAAGUCUGAACCAGCCAUGCCGCGUGAAGGAAGACGGCCCUACGGGUUGUAAACUUCUUUUGUACGGGAAAAACCACCGGUCGUGAACCGGUGCUGAUGGUACCGUAAGAAUAAGCAUCGGCUAACUCCGUGCCAGCAGCCGCGGUAAACAUA
Molecule: ribosomal RNA, 505 nt
Filed under: uncultured bacterium
Lineage: Bacteria
Description: bacterial SSU rRNA
Rfam family: Bacterial small subunit ribosomal RNA
Source: RNAcentral